Molecule: long non-coding RNA, 252 nt
Organism: Hydra vulgaris (swiftwater hydra)
Lineage: Eukaryota; Metazoa; Cnidaria; Hydrozoa; Anthoathecata; Hydridae
Source: RefSeq, a predicted model, not a curated record
CUAGCUUUUAAACACUUUUUACCUUUAUGCAUAUAGCGUAGUACAAACUAUAGUUUGGAAAAACAACAAAAAAAAAAUACAGAAAAGCGAUGUCAAAAUAAAAAACGGACGCGUAUGAGAGAACGUAAUUAUAUAGUUGGUUUGUGUUGAUUUAUGAUUAACAACAGAAAAUACUUUACUUCAACAAAUGUUAACAUCAAAUCAUUGAAUAAUAUUAACUUUUUGUUGCUUAAAAAUAUUAUGAAAUUCAAA